AUUUCUUUCUGUGUAGCGGUCAAAAGAAGUCUGAACCAAGGAUUCUGAUCCGACAGAUGCAAAUAAAAUAAAGAGCGCAGGCAAGCGAGAGAGGAAGCGAUAUUAACCAGCUGUUGCUGCGCCCCGCACCUGAAAUCCACAACAACAACAACGACCAUAAAACACCAACAGCCGAGGCCGCACGCACAAGGAUAACCCACUAAAAGAAGAAAAAACCAAAUCGAUGACUCAUGAACAGGAACCGAAAUGUUUACAAAAAUAGAACAUAUGCCAAAACGAAACAGCGCCGGAGGAAAAGAGAGGGGUGAGAAGUGCCGUUGGCGGCGCAAUAAAUAGCAACAAUAAGAAGCCAACAGAAAAAUCGAUGCGGCUGUACCGUUCACCCAACCAUCCAUCCAUCCACCCACCCACCACCACCUAUCGCCCACCCACUCUCUCGCCAUCUCGCUCUCUGUGUUCCACAUUGCAUUGUGAACGAACAACGAAACGUAAUGGCGAUGAGUCAUCAUCGAGCCAGGGCACAGUGGUGGCCAAAAAUACAUUAACACUCGGGCAGCGCAGGAGGCGCGUCGACGACACAACCCUUAUCAGAAAGGACGUUUGCGGUUGGCUGGUUGGGUUAGCUAGCCUUGUUGUUGGUGCUGCAAUCUGCAUAAAGUUUCCAUUGCCCGUGCAAACUUGUCUGCACCGACAAAAACGGCUAUAGUUGUGGCUCCUAUUAUCAUAUUCUACCGAGUUUACUCUAUGAUAAACUUUUAUCUACAAAGAUCGACCUUCGCAAGGCUAUAGCUUUCAAGUAACUCAGGCGUUUCGUUAAGAUUAGACAGAAUAUUAUACCAUCUUACGUUUUAAAAAAUAUUGAAGCACCAAAUCUCAGGUGGAACUAAAUGAUGUGGCCAAAGUCGCAACACAGUUACGGCAGCAACAACAAUGCGACGACGACGCCGCUGCCGCCAUGCUGUCUGCCAACGCCAACACGCAACAGCAACAACAAUGCGACGACCAAGAAGAAGAAGGGACAGAGGACGGAAGGAGCGAAGGAGGCGAUGAAGAGAGGCGAAUGGAUAAGCGUAGGAGAAGUCACAACAAAAACUUUUUGAGGUGGAAGGAGCAUUGCUCCUUAUCAACGCACCCCAAUUGCCUCCAUGGGAGCGAGGGAGUUGGAUAGAUAUGUACAUGUAUUCCACGUUGGAAAUUACUUUGACUUGAGCUUUGCUUUGAAAUUUUUUACGGUUUACUCC
This 1241-nucleotide long non-coding RNA is filed under the name Drosophila melanogaster (fruit fly). RNAcentral's name for it is "long non-coding RNA:CR44331 (Dmel_CR44331)". The record is from RNAcentral. Lineage: Eukaryota; Metazoa; Arthropoda; Insecta; Diptera; Drosophilidae.